RNAcentral lists this ribosomal RNA (445 nucleotides) under uncultured soil bacterium. RNAcentral's name for it is "bacterial SSU rRNA". It matches the Rfam family "Bacterial small subunit ribosomal RNA", at positions 26 to 438 of the family's 1533-position model. The record is from RNAcentral.
AGAGUGAACGCUGGCGGUAGGCCUAACACAUGCAAGUCGAACGGCAGCACAGGAGAGCUUGCUCUCUGGGUGGCGAGUGGCGGACGGGUGAGGAAUACAUCGGAAUCUACCUUUUCGUGGGGGAUAACGUAGGGAAACUUACGCUAAUACCGCAUAACGACCUUCGGGUGAAAGCCGGGGACCUUCGGGCCUGGCGCGGAUAGAUGAGCCGAUGUCGGAUUAGCUUGGUUGGACGGGUAAAAGCCCACCGAAGGCGACGAUCCGUAGCUGGUCUGAGAGAUGAUCAGCCACACUGGAACUGAGUACACGGUCCAGACUCCGUACGGGAGGCAGUCGAAGGUGGGAAUAGUUAGGACAAGUGGGCGACAAGCCUAGACUCCAGCCAUACCGGCGUAGGGGUAGAAGGAACGGUCCGUUCGGGUUUAACGUUAAACGUCCCGUUUUU